Molecule: ribosomal RNA, 459 nt
Filed under: uncultured bacterium
Lineage: Bacteria
Description: partial 16S ribosomal RNA
Rfam family: Bacterial small subunit ribosomal RNA
Source: RNAcentral
CCUACGGGGGGCAGCAGUGAGGAAUAUUGGUCAAUGGCCGCAGGGCUGAACCAGCCAAGUCGCGUGAGGGAUGACGGUCCUAUGGAUUGUAAACCUCUUUUGUCAGGGAGCAAAGGGCGCCACGUGUGGCGCUUUGCGAGUACCUGAAGAAAAAGCAUCGGCUAACUCCGUGCCAGCAGCCGCGGUAAUACGGAGGAUGCGAGCGUUAUCCGGAUUUAUUGGGUUUAAAGGGUGCGCAGGCGGAAUGUCAAGUCAGCGGUAAAAUUUCGGGGCUCAACCCCGUCGUGCCGUUGAAACUGGCGUUCUUGAGUGAGCGAGAAGUAUGCGGAAUGCGUGGUGUAGCGGUGAAAUGCAUAGAUAUCACGCAGAACUCCGAUUGCGAAGGCAGCAUACCGGCGCUCAACUGACGCUCAUGCACGAAAGCGUGGGUAUCGAACAGGAUUAGAUACCCCAUUAGUC